AAAAGUCGUAACCAAGGUCUCCGUAGGUGAACCUGCGGAGGGAUCAUUACACAAAUAUGAAGGCGGGCUGGAACCUCUCGGGGUUACAGCCUUGCUGAAUUAUUCACCCUUGUCUUUUGCGUACUUCUUGUUUCCUUGGUGGGUUCGCCCACCACUAGGACAAACAUAAACCUUUUGUAAUUGCAAUCAGCGUCAGUAACAAAUUAAUAAUUACAACUUUCAACAACGGAUCUCUUGGUUCUGGCAUCGAUGAAGAACGCAGCGAAAUGCGAUAAGUAGUGUGAAUUGCAGAAUUCAGUGAAUCAUCGAAUCUUUGAACGCACAUUGCGCCCCUUGGUAUUCCAAAGGGCAUGCCUGUUCGAGCGUCAUUUGUACCCUCAAGCUUUGCUUGGUGUUGGGCGUCUUGUCUCUAGCUUUGCUGGAGACUCGCCUUAAAGUAAUUGGCAGCCGGCCUACUGGUUUCGGAGCGCAGCACAAGUCGCACUCUCUAUCAGCAAAGGUCUAGCAUCCAUUAAGCCUU
This 520-nucleotide ribosomal RNA is filed under the name uncultured fungus. RNAcentral describes it as "eukaryotic LSU rRNA". The stretch from base 215 to 368 matches the Rfam family "5.8S ribosomal RNA". Lineage: Eukaryota; Fungi. The record is from RNAcentral.